Arvicola amphibius (Eurasian water vole) is the source of this 1895-nucleotide long non-coding RNA. RefSeq lists it as uncharacterized. Lineage: Eukaryota; Metazoa; Chordata; Mammalia; Rodentia; Cricetidae. The record is from RefSeq and is a predicted model, not a curated record. The transcript has 3 exons.
CUGACACCACUCCCAGGCAGUCACCCGAAGGGCUGUACGUGAGCGGGGUUCUCCUCUAAGUAUGUUGCCCAGUCCUCCUCAGGGUGCUUUUCUCUUUCGCUUGGUUGAAUCUUUCUGUGGAGGAAACUCUUUCUGAGCCAUUCAUACAAGGCUUGGUUGGAGCCUGUGUUUGGACAUACUCACACUCCCUCAGCCAACUCAGAAUCUGGACUAGAGUUUGUUCUGAGUAUUCUUCUGUCUGUAUCGAUUGGAUCAAAGGGAGAUUCAUCUGGAACCCAGCUGAAGUUCUUCCAGAUGGACAUCGAAUCACGAAUUUCAUGAUCUGAAAAGAGUGUCAAAGUCCAGUGCUUAAAGGAGUGAAAAACCAGGUCCCCUGGAGGUUUUAUCCACGCUCUGACAAACGUCUGUCACAAGAGCACAAACUCAGGACUAGCUGUUGGAACAGAUCUUUGACAGAUCACUCUUCUGCCUGGAAGCACCUGAGAGGUUAGCUUUCAUCCCUGGAGUGACUGGCUAGACUGUCACCACCGCAGGCCAAACAUUUCUCCGUGGACACCUUAGGCGACUCCAAGUGCAAGGAAUUGUGAAGCUAAAGCUGCAGCUCCUGUGUCAGGAGGUCCCGCGUCAGUCACGACUACUCCAGACUGCCCAUCUCAGCGUUGGAAGGCAGCUGUCUAGGCAAGACUCCAGAUGACCCCACAGAUCUGCUCAGUCACUUUGUCACCUCCCCAGUAACUCAGCAGUGACUGGUCCUAGGCAGGACUUGCUAUUGGUCCCUCUGUGGGGCCCGUGAUUGGUGGAAUUGUAACUGUGCUUUCACGGAUGCCAAUGCAAUCCUCCCUUUGCAUACCACACCCAUGCCACAAACAUCCCUCCCCCCCCAUUAUAUAACCAGGCUGUUGCGUUCACUUUCUGAACCAGCUAGGCAAUAACGUGGGGCCCUCCAGUGGGGUAACAUUAAGCCCUGCAAAAGCUUUUUUCAGGAUGGUCUUCCCUUGCCUGCUUGAGACUUCUGUUAUGAGUAGAGCCACCUAAAGCUGGUGAUACAAAGAGGAGGUGGGGGUGGAGUCAGCAGAGGAGGCAGCAGCAGCUGUCUGGAUGGUGCAGCAGCCUUGAUAGCCAGGAGAUGGCCGCUGAAGGGCAGAGAGCCAGAAGGAAUUGAGAUGCUGAAACAAGGUGAGAGGAAGCAGGAAAGCUCUGAAGAGCUGAGAACAAGAAGCUGCAGCUUCAGACCCGCUGAAGGGCUUCAGGGAGCUGCCUAGACCUAAGAGCCCUAAGAGUCAACGGUCAAGACACCCAAGGUAUGGGAAUUGGAAUGGCUCCACUUUUAGGAGCUAAGGGUCUUUAUAUACAGCAAACCUUCUGAGUCUACAAAGAGGUAUGGGUGCCUGAGCAGCCAGUCUCUCCGCCUUGUGGCAUCCAGUUCAGGACCCUGAGUCACAAGCUUCUGGUCCAGCCCAUGUAUGAGCCCUUAACACUCGAGAGCCCAGAACCACUGACUCUAAUUCAAAUAGGCUUUGUCUAUUUGCAAUUCCCACCUUGAUAGUGCCAAAGAUUUCCCAGCCAGAUGAUUGGUCAAACUCGAGUCAUCUUUACUAAGGCUGGGCGAGAGAUAUGGCUCAGUGAGUAAGGAGCUUACUUAACAUACACAAAGCUCUGGGUUUGAUCCCUAGCGUGGCACAACUAAAAUGUGGAGGUGCCCUCCUGUGAGACCAGCGCCUUGGAAGAACAGGAAAACCAUGAGUUCAAGGCCAUUGUAGAUACAUAGGGAUCUCAAUGCUAUCCUGAGAUAGAUGAGAUACUGUCUACAAGGAGGUAAGUAUGUGUGAUUAUUCCCAAACUGAUCAGCCAUGAUGGAUUCUUUAUUACAGGAAUAAAGUCACCAUUAACAUUUA